GUGCUUGCUUCAGCAGCACAUGUAUUAAAAUUGAAACAAUACAAAGAAGAUUAGCAUGGCCCCUGCACAAGGAUGGCAUGCAAAUCCAUGAAGCAGUCCUUUUUUUU
This is a small nuclear RNA of Erinaceus europaeus (western European hedgehog), 107 nucleotides long. NCBI's taxonomy places the organism in Eukaryota, Metazoa, Chordata, Mammalia, Eulipotyphla, Erinaceidae. The record is from Ensembl.